CCUUACGGGGGGGAGCAGUGAGGAAUUUUGCGCAAUGGGGGAAACCCUGACGCAGCAACGCCGCGUGAGUGAAGAAGGCCUUUGGGUCGUAAAGCUCUGUCGACAGGGAAGAAGUUAGAGUUUUCAAAUAGGGGAUUCUAUUGACGGUACCUGUAGAGGAAGCACCGGCUAACUCCGUGCCAGCAGCCGCGGUAAUACGGGGGGUGCAAGCGUUAUUCGGAAUUAUUGGGCGUAAAGGGCGCGUAGGCGGUCUUGUCGGUCAGAUGUGAAAGCCCAGGGCUCAACCCUGGACGUGCAUUUGAAACAGCAAGACUUGAAUACUGGAGAGGAGAGCGGAAUUCCUGGUGUAGAGGUGAAAUUCGUAGAUAUCAGGAGGAACACCGAUGGCGAAGGCAGCUCUCUGGACAGAUAUUGACGCUGAGGCGCGAAGGCGUGGGUAGCGAACAGGAUUAGAUACCCUGGUAGUCCACGCAGUAAACGAUGUUCACUAGGUGUGUCGGAUAUUAAAAUCUGAUGUGCCCAAGCUAACGCAUUAAGUGAACCGCCUG
Molecule: ribosomal RNA, 548 nt
Filed under: uncultured bacterium
Lineage: Bacteria
Description: bacterial SSU rRNA
Rfam family: Bacterial small subunit ribosomal RNA
Source: RNAcentral